Molecule: long non-coding RNA, 629 nt
Organism: Ceratitis capitata (Mediterranean fruit fly)
Lineage: Eukaryota; Metazoa; Arthropoda; Insecta; Diptera; Tephritidae
Exons: 3
Source: RefSeq, a predicted model, not a curated record
UAGAUUUGUUCAUUCUGAGUAUCUCUGCACAAUCUAAUCUAAUUUUAAAAUUUUAUUAUUUCAAAUGGGGAAUCGUAAGGAAAUAUAGAUUUCAGCUCGAAAUAUUGUAAUUAAUAUCCGGAAAGUUUUUACAGUACCAGAGAGCUUUCGCGUCGAAAAAUGAGAUCCAACAAGUAUCCGAAAAUCACCAAGGAUUUAGAAAUAUACUAACACGAAAAAGGCACUAAUUAGUGGUAAACUUCGACUUGACUUUGCCAAAACACAUCUUAAGAAAAGUAUGGAUUUUUUAAAAUGGAUGCUUUUUACCGAUGAAAAUAUUGACAAAUAUAAUCCAUGCAUUCGUCAGUGCACAAAAGUGAUUCUCAAGCCGAUUAACGGAAAUGCUGGAAGAUAAUAAACUGCCGGAAAUGAUCGACAAAUAAUUUAUAGCUGUUUCACUAGGAAAUGUACCGUUGAAAAUUAGAUUAUCUUAUGAAAUAUCUACCAAAAAGCAUUAUGUUGCAUUUGAUUUUUUUAAUUACAGAAUUAGCAACAAUCGUAUAUUGCACAAAUUGUUUUAACUGCUAAAUCAAAAGCGAAUGCACUGGCUCGGGGUUUGGCGCGUUCAUUUACUGCUGUCAAAGCCAAUA